RNAcentral lists this ribosomal RNA (253 nucleotides) under uncultured bacterium. RNAcentral's name for it is "partial 16S ribosomal RNA". It matches the Rfam family "Bacterial small subunit ribosomal RNA", at positions 524 to 776 of the family's 1533-position model. The record is from RNAcentral.
AACGUAGGACACAAGCGUUAUCCGGAGUUACUGGGCGUAAAGGGCGUGUAGGCGGAGAUGUAAGUCUAUUCUGAAAGCUCCUGGCUAAACUGGGAGAGGCGAAUGGAGACUGCAUAUCUAGAGUGAGGAAGAGGAAAGUGGAAUUCCGCGUGUAGUGGUGAAAUGCGUAGAGAUGCGGAGGAACACCAGUGGCGAAAGCGACUUUCUGGUCCUUAACUGACGCUGAGGCGCGAAAGCUAGGGGAGCAAACAGG